This 87-nucleotide ribosomal RNA is filed under the name Perilla frutescens var. crispa. The record is from RNAcentral. Lineage: Eukaryota; Viridiplantae; Streptophyta; Magnoliopsida; Lamiales; Lamiaceae.
AUCCCAUCAGAACUCCGAAGUUAAGCGUGCUUGGGCGAGAGUAGUACUAGGAUGGGUGACCCCCUAGGAAGUCCUCGUGUUGCACCC